CGUAGCUAUCCCAUAGUUCCCGCAGUCUCCCGAACCCCUUAGAAUUCUGGGUUGAGAGCCCAGGGCUGAUGGGGCAAAUCAUUGUCGCGGGUGUUUCUGGGUAAAUUCAUAA
Chelonoidis abingdonii (Abingdon island giant tortoise) is the source of this 112-nucleotide non-coding RNA. The record is from RefSeq and is a predicted model, not a curated record. NCBI's taxonomy places the organism in Eukaryota, Metazoa, Chordata, Testudines, Testudinidae.